ACCAUGGAUGGAUCUCAAACUCUGUCCCUGGCCCAGGCCGCUCUCCAGGGCAUCCAGUGAAGUGCUGAUGCAGAAGGAUGUCCCCGUCCAACUCCCAGCACAGAAUGCACAGUAGAUACAUAGAUAUGCAGGUCGGGGGAAGGCCCAGAAAGUCAGAGACAGCAGCAGCUGGGACACUGUUGGCUGAAAAUGGCAGAGGAACCCACUAACAUGGCUUUUAAAGAAAAAAGAAUUUGCUUUCUCUCAUCAGAAAUAGAAAGGCGGCCCCUGACAGCCUGGUUUGACAGCUCCAUGGAACAAGUGCUGGAAUCUGCAAUUGUCUUCGUCCUAUUGCUCACAAAAUGGCUGCCUUGUCUCUGGCUAUCACAUCUGAGUUCAGAUCAUGAUAGAGAGCCAGCUGGGAAGGCAACAAAGAGGCUGCAGAGGGGAGAACCUGGAAAUGCCUUUAGAAGGAAAGAAAACUCCGCGCUAGACGGAGGCCCGACCCUGUGCCCAGCGGCCGCUGCGUCGGGCCCCCUCGCGGGGUUGAGUGGGCACCGGGGCCAGAGGAAGGGGCCAGAGAAGGUGUCCUCCUCCCAGCCACGCCUUUCCCAGAAAGAGAACUCAGACACCGGGGGCCUCGAGCUUGCCAAAGACCCCUGGGCCCCUCCCCACACAGACACGUAUACCCUGGGGCCAUCGGGCUCUCUGAGGCCCAGGGGCUGCGACCCCUGGCCCCUGACUGGGCCGCUUAGCAGCUGCCCAAAUACAUCCACGUCAGAGCUCUGCUUCCAUCUCCAGCUUUUAUUUUCUUUUUCUUUGUGUGUGUGUAUGUGUGUGUGUGUGU
Molecule: long non-coding RNA, 826 nt
Filed under: Chinchilla lanigera (long-tailed chinchilla)
Lineage: Eukaryota; Metazoa; Chordata; Mammalia; Rodentia; Chinchillidae
Description: lncRNA (ENSCLAG00000028258.1)
Source: RNAcentral